RNAcentral lists this ribosomal RNA (774 nucleotides) under uncultured Neocallimastigales. RNAcentral's name for it is "partial large subunit ribosomal RNA". It matches the Rfam family "Eukaryotic large subunit ribosomal RNA", at positions 24 to 641 of the family's 3401-position model. Lineage: Eukaryota; Fungi; Neocallimastigomycota; Neocallimastigomycetes; Neocallimastigales. The record is from RNAcentral.
UAUGUGAUCGUCUCUCGCAUAUCAAUAAGCGGAGGAAAAGAAACUAACAAGGAUUCCCCUAGUAACGGCGAGUGAAGCGGGAAGAGCUCAAAUUUGAAAUCUUAAAGGGUUUCCCUUUACGAAUUGUAGUUUAAAGAAGUGUUUUCUGUUGAGGUUUUGGUAAAAGUUCUUUGGAAUAGGACAUCAUAGAGGGUGAGAAUCCCGUAUUUGACCUUUACUUUCAACUUUGUGAUACACUUUCAAAGAGUCGGAUUGUUUGGGAAUGCAGUCCAAAAUGGGUGGUAAAUUUCAUCUAAAGCUAAAUAUUGGCGAGAGACCGAUAGCGAACAAGUACCGUGAGGGAAAGAUGAAAAGAACUUUGAAAAGAGAGUUAAACAGUACGUGAAAUUGUCAAAAGGGAAGCGUUUGACACCAGUGUUGUUUUUCUGAAAAUCAAUUAAAGAACUGUUUAUGCUAAGCUGUUUAGACUUUAUCAGCUAACUGUUUAGUUUUGAGCUUUUCUUUAAUGCACUUUUCAGUUAACAAGUCAACAUCAAUUUCUUAUGCUGUAAAAAAGCUUGAGGAAGGUGGCUUGAGAUUCGUCUUAAGUGUUUAUAGCCUCUUGCCUAUGCAGUCGGAGAGAUUGAGGUCUGCAGCGUAGAUCCUUCGGGGCUAAAUGCAUUUGUGCUAAGUUAUAGCAUUUUAUAGACAACUUGUUGACUAUGAUUUGUCUUGUAGCUUACUCGCUUAUGUUAUUUUACCUACGCUUAGGAUGUUGAACGCGCACAGAGUCUC